GACGAACCGUGCGAACGUUGUUCGGAAUCACUGGGCUUAAAGGGCGCGUAGGCGGGCGCGCAAGUCGGAGGUGAAAUCCCACGGCUCAACCGUGGAAUGGCCCCCGAUACUGCGUGCCUGGAGGGAGAUAGGGGCGUGCGGAACUUCCGGUGGAGCGGUGAAAUGCGUAGAUAUCGGAAGGAACACCGGUGGCGAAAGCGGCGCGCUGGAUCUCUUCUGACGCUGAGGCGCGAAAGCCAGGGGAGCAAACGGG
Molecule: ribosomal RNA, 253 nt
Filed under: uncultured bacterium
Lineage: Bacteria
Description: partial 16S ribosomal RNA
Rfam family: Bacterial small subunit ribosomal RNA
Source: RNAcentral